UACGAAGGGGGCUAGCGUUGCUCGGAAUUACUGGGCGUAAAGCGCACGUAGGCGGCUCUUUAAGUCGGGGGUGAAAUCCUGGAGCUCAACUCCAGAACUGCCUUCGAUACUGUAGAGCUUGAGUUCGGGAGAGGUGAGUGGAACUGCGAGUGUAGAGGUGAAAUUCGUAGAUAUUCGCAAGAACACCAGUGGCGAAGGCGGCUCACUGGCCCGAUACUGACGCUAAGGUGCGAAAGCGUGGGGAGCAAACAGG
This 253-nucleotide ribosomal RNA is filed under the name uncultured bacterium. Its description in RNAcentral is "partial 16S ribosomal RNA". It matches the Rfam family "Bacterial small subunit ribosomal RNA", at positions 524 to 776 of the family's 1533-position model. The record is from RNAcentral.